This 1369-nucleotide ribosomal RNA is filed under the name Psilogramma increta. RNAcentral's name for it is "16S ribosomal RNA". Lineage: Eukaryota; Metazoa; Arthropoda; Insecta; Lepidoptera; Sphingidae. The record is from RNAcentral.
GGGGGUAAAUUAAUAAAUAAAAUUAUAAUAAAAUAAAUUUUAAUAUUAAAAAUAUAUGGGGGUUAAAGUAUUUUUAAUAGAAAAAAUUUAAAAUUUUAUAGUUUAUUAGUAUUGUAAAAGAAUUUUGAAAUAUUUUGAAAAUUAAAUUGUUAAAAAGUAAAUUUAAUUUAUUGUAUCUUGUGUAUCAGAGUUUAUUAAAUAAAGUUUAUUUGUUUAAGAUUCUCGAAUUUGAAAGAGUUAAUUAAUUAUGAAAUUUAUUGUUUCAUAAAUAUUUUUAAUAAUUAAUUGGAAAUGAAAUGUUAAUCGUUUUUAAAUAUAUCUAGUUUUUUUAGAAAAAAAUUUAAUUUUAAAUUAAUUAAAAAAUAUAUUUAAUAAAUAAAUAUAUUUUUUAUUUAAUUUAAUAUUUUAAGGGAUAAGCUUUAAAUUAAAUUAUUAUAAUUAAUUAAAUUUAAAUUUAAAAAUUUUAUAAUUUAUAUUGUUAAUAAAUUUUAAUUUAUUAUAAAUAAUUUUAAAUAAAUUUAAAAUUUAAUUAAAAUUUAAUUUUUUAUAAAAAAAUAUUUUUUAAUGGUAAAAAUUUAGUUAUAAUGAUAAAAUUAGUAUAUAAAAAUAUAACUAAAAUUUAAUAUUAAUUUUAUAAUAAUUAUUUUAAAGGAACUCGACAAAUUAAUAUAAUUUAAAUUUAUAAUUUUAAUUAUUUUUAUAUUCACCUGUUUAACAAAACAUGUCUUUUUGAAUAUAAUUUAAAGUCUAAUCUGCCCACUGAUUUAAAAUUAAAGGGCUGCAGUAUAUUGACUGUACAAAGGUAGCAUAAUCAUUAGUCUCUUAAUUGGUGACUUGUAUGAAGGAUUGGAUGAAAUAUAAAUUGUCUCUAAAGUAUAUAAUUGAAUUUAAUUUUUUUAUUAAAAAGUAAAAUAAUUAAAAAGACGAGGAGACCCUAUAGAGUUUUAUAUUUGUUUAUUUAAUUUAUUUAUAUAUUUAUAAAUUUAAAUGAAAUAAUUAUUUUUAUGGGGGUGAUAAAAAAAAUUUAUUUACUUUUUUUUUUAUUUAAUCAUAAAUAAGUGAAUUUUUGAUCCAUUAUUAAUGAUUAUAAGAUUAAAUUACCUUAGGGAUAACAGCGUAAUUUUUUUUUUUAGUACAAAUAAAAAAAAAAGUUUGCGACCUCGAUGUUGGAUUAAGAUAAAAUUUAAAUGCAAAAGUUUAAAAUUUUGAUCUGUUCGAUCAUUAAAAUCUUACAUGAUCUGAGUUCAAACCGGUGUGAGCCAGGUUGGUUUCUAUCUUUUAAUAUUUUUAAUAUUUUAGUACGAAAGGAUCAAAUAUUGUAAUUAAAUUAAAAUAAUUUUGAAUAUUAUUAAGUUAUAAUAAAUUUAUA